CGCUGAGAGCCCAGCCAGGAGAGAAGAGCUCAGCUUCUGAUUGGUGGGCACGACAGGGAGGGGUGCGGCCUAGCGCGGGGGCGGGCGGGCGUCGACGGCUUUUUGCCCAGAGCCGGCAAGCAUCCAAGGAGCCGAGCCGGCUGGGUUCAGCGGCUGCGCAGAGGUGGGAAUCUGCCUCUACGUACUCCCCGGGACAGCUCUACUUACAGGGAGAGCCCUUCAUUGCCCCUGGUGCAGGAGCUGGAGAGGGAAAAGAGGAGUUUCAGCGAUGCGGAAAGAGAGGUCUCUGGCCCCUGGCCCAGCCCUAAAGCUUCCGAAGAGCAGGUAGCCAAGAGGCCCACUGACAUCCAAAGAAUAGGCCAAAACAGGAUGCAAACAAACUGGAAGAUGCAACAUCCCAGAGACAAUAGGGAGCCAAGGGAAGAAAAUAAGUGGAAGUCACAGGGAAGCGCAGCGACAGACAAGAUCCAUGUAUCUGAGGCAGAAGGGAGCCCCAGGAAGAAAAUUCCUGGAAACUACCGGGAAGCUCAGUGGUGGAAAGGGCACCUACAUUACCUCCACCAUCUAGAACCUCCAGCUGACUGCUCCAGCUACACUCCUGCCUCUUAUUUCAGGAAUAGCACCCAUCUCCCAGGAUGAUCACUGCUUGUUCCUCCCACCUCCCCUGCCAAUGAGUUUGAUGAAGGGCAGCUUCAGCAGGGAAAUAGACAGAGCCACUGGUCUGGAGUCAGGAAGACCUGAGUUCAAAUGCUAACUAUGACCCUGGGCAAGUCACUUCACCCUGCUUACCUCAGCAUCCUCAUCUGUCAAAUGAGAUGGAGAAGGAAAUGACCAACCAGUCCAGUAUCUUUGCCAAGGAAACCCCCAAUGAGAUGCUCCUGGAAAGGCAGGAUUUUUUCAUUCUGGAUCUCCUUAUCUCCAGUACUUAGGACAGCGCUUGGGCCUUAUAGACCCUUGGUGUUGGAGGGACAAGCAGGGCCUGUGCUAUGUUGGGACUCUGUCAUUACGUGGAUCGAUGGGGUUAAACACAUUUCCCAUCACUUAGGCUGCCCAGCUCACGAGCAAAAUGGCAUUCCCAAGACGAGGGCCAUUCAGAGCAACUUGAGAGAUGUGGCGUUGUUACUGGAGCUUCCUGAAGAGAAGGGCUGUCUUGGCUUUCACAUUUGUAUCUCAGGUUCUAUUCCUAGUGCUUAUUAAGUGCUUGGGAACCUGGGUGCCUGGAAGGAUCUGGGAACCCUGAAUAGAAACAGGGAAGUUAGGAGGAGGCAUGUGCUUAAUGGGGUUCCCUUCCCUUCCCCUUCCCUUCCUUUCUUCCCCUCCCUUCCCUUUUUCCCUUCCCUUCCCCUUUCCCUUCCCUUCUUUGUUUUAGCCAUGUUAGGUUUGAGAUGAGAACCAAUACACAAUAUUGAUUCCAAGAUGUAAGGUAAGGGGUUUAAAAAAAAAAAGUACCAGAAGAGGACCCAAACCAGAGAGAAGAGAAGAGAAAGGUGGUCAAGAGGGCCAAAUGGAGCCCAGAGGUUAAGGAUGAGCACAGAUUUGGCUUUCAGAGACCUUUUGUUCACUGUGGAGAUCAAGGACAAAUACAGAGGGGUUAGGGACAUCUCCUUAUCAGAGGCUUGAAGACAGAGACAGAGACAGACAGAUGGAGAGAGACAGUGAGUCGGAGAGACAGACAGAAAGACAGAUUGAGACAGAGAAUAUAUGGAAAAAAAAAGAGUAAAGAGGAUGGGACUGAAGUGUGUCAUUUCAUUGGUAGAAAGGAAUCCUAACUGCAGAAGCUAUGCCCCUUCCACCUCCCCCCAGGUUGGCAUCUUCUUAACAAUUUGUCUCUGAGAAUUACCUCCUGUCCUGAGAGAUCGAGUGACUUGCCCCCAGGGUUGCACAGACAUAUAUAUAUAGGAAAGACAGGACUUGAACCCAGAACUUCCUGACUUAAAGGCUGGCUCAGUCCACUAUACCACACUGAGGAGGCAGGAUAGAUUUUUAAUACCACUAAAGUAAAUUGGAAUAUAAACUUGUGGAGGGCAGGAAGGGACUAUGUUGCAUUUUGGUCUUUAUUUCCCCAAGUCCGGCACUGUAGUGGAUUCCCCCCUCCCUCAGUAUCUUCAAACACAAGAUCUGGAUGGCCCCUUAUUAGGGAUUUUCUAGAGAAUGCUUUUUCUGAUGUACUAGAUGGCCUCAAGGGGCCUUUCUGUCUCAGAGACUCUGAAAUUCUGUGAAAUAAAUCAUCUCCAAAGCCCCA
Molecule: long non-coding RNA, 2242 nt
Filed under: Monodelphis domestica (gray short-tailed opossum)
Lineage: Eukaryota; Metazoa; Chordata; Mammalia; Didelphimorphia; Didelphidae
Description: lncRNA (ENSMODG00000035683.2)
Source: RNAcentral